This 6036-nucleotide long non-coding RNA is filed under the name Triticum aestivum (bread wheat). RNAcentral's name for it is "long non-coding RNA (TAES_LNC008647)". Lineage: Eukaryota; Viridiplantae; Streptophyta; Magnoliopsida; Poales; Poaceae. The record is from RNAcentral.
ACACCUCUCCCUCUCUCCCUCUCUCUCCCUUUCUGGACCUCUCACGAGCAGGGGCGCCUUUCCUCCCUCCCAUCCUCCUCCUCCUCCGGUCGAUGGAGGAGCCGCCGGACCACGCCACGGCCACGAGGUACGUGCGAUGCGAGCUUUCCCUCUCUCCAGACGGUUUGAUUUAUGUGUGGUUCGGGCGAAAUUCGCGAUUUCAUGGUGGAAUUAUCUGGUCCUCUGCCUUGCGCUAUUGUUGACCGUGGGCUUCAGUUUUGUGGCUGGUGCUCGUUUGUUUGAGGGUUCCAUUCCCGAUUCGGGUGGAAUUCGUCAUCCUCCUUGUUGGUUGUUCGCCCGCGAGCUGGAGCGGAUUUGAUUGGAGGGGGGGUUGGACAUGGGGUCUCGUUGAGGAGGGGAUCGGAUGAUGUGGGAUUGCAGGUCUGGUGCUGGUUUGUGCCCCCCUGAUUGGAUCUGACGGUGUAGUUCAUUGAGAGGUUUCGGCUCGCGGAUUAAGGAUUUGAAAUGCAUGGCUACGUUGGGCUGCACUUCAGAUUCUUGACGGAAAAAGGUUACUGAGAUUGCAAUAUGACAUUGCUGAAUUGGUGGAAGGUGCAGUGCAGAUGCAAGCAUAGGGAAGUAUUGCCUUUUUAAGGGGGGUAUGGAUGUCAGUUUUCCACCUCUUGUCACCUGUCAACUAACUCCAUUUGUGUCGCUAGCAUAGUUGGAAACUUUGAAUUGACAUUGUGUCACUUUUCGGAAAGACACCUCAACAACUUUGUUCUCCACUAAGGAAAACAACGCUGUCUCUUUAUCGUCAUGAAUGAUGACAUUUCUCAAUAGCCACACUCACCUAAGGAAACAAAUGGAUCCUGGGCUCUCAGCCUGGUUUUUCAAUAAAAAAUCAGUAAAAUAAGACAGUUUGGAGCUUCAGAAAUUCUGAAUUUUUUUUCACAUGUAGAUGCUCACUACAUGCCUGUAAAUUUGAAUAUUAAUUUCUAGGCUACAAAUAUGUGGAUUUUAACAUGUCUACUAUUUGCUACACCUUCCGUUCCAUAAGAGGUAAAUACACUGCAAGUCAUAGAACUUGCACGCGACGGUCAGUAUGGUGCAUAAACUUGUAAAAUAUGUGUUUCUGGUCAUCUAACUUGUCCCUCCGUUCAUAUACGGUGCUUUCUACCGUAUUCAGCUGUAUCAUGUCAAUACAUGGCGUGUCAACGUGGCAGGGGUCCAUUGUCAGCGGUGGGUAACCCGUGUGCACUAUUUUUUUUCUUCAGGAAGCACCCUUGCAUAUUUUUAUUUAUGCAAAAAAAUCCUUAAAUAAAAUGAAAAAUGAUGAACGAACAUUGGGAUUCAAACAGAACACCUGCUACGAUCCGCCACGCUUCGAUAACCAAUUGACCUACAUAUUGUUCACACUCUUGGAGCACAAUUAGCUUUAUAUAAGAAAUAUUGUGCGGCCUUAAAAAAAGACAGUACAAGCUAAAAUAGAAACCAAAACGAGAAAAAGGGAAGGCACCGGUUCGAACCUAUGACCACAUUUUUUAGAAGAACCUAUGAACACAUAAGCUCGCCGCGUGUGGGAGCACCAACCAUCCGGCCACAAUGAGUUAAAAAAAAUCAGCCACAAUGACAUUUAAAUAGAUAAACACAAUUUAUCUUAUGUAUUCUUCUUUCUCUUUUCUAUUUACAAUAAAAUAUAGUUCAUAAUGAAUAUACGUCAAUUUCUUUCGGACAAUCAACAGAACUCAUUAUAAAUUCGAAAAUCUAGAUAAAAAAAUUAUAUGUAAAAAAUAAUGUACAUAAAUUUUUCGGAGAAAUUAACUAUUUUUUGUUUGAAUUCAAAUAAUUUAAAAAUUAAAAUAUGGAAAAGUGAAUAUAGUGCACAGUAAAUAUAGUGCACAAUGAAUAUACACAUUUUAUGGGGACAAAUCAGAAAACUUUGUUUCAAAUCGAAUAAUUCAAAAUUUGAAAAUCUAGAGAAAAGGAAUGUGGCUCAUAAUGAAUGUAAGUAUUGUUCGGACAAAUCAUCUAAUUUUUGUUUGAAUUUGAAUAAGCUAUAUAAAAGAAAUACAGUUCAUAAUCAAUGUACGCAAAUUUCUUUCAAACAAAUCACUGGAUAUUUUGUCUGAAUUCGAAUAUAUUAAAAUUGGAAAAUCUUGAUAAACGAAAAUACAGGUCCGAAUGAAAUUUACGUAAUUUUUUCCCGGAAAAAUCAAAUAAUUUUUUUCUUUAAAUUCGAAUUUUAAAUUAAAAAUCUAGAUAAAAGAAAAUGUUGUGCAGAAGGAAUGUAUGUAAUUUUCUUUCAAACAAAUCAGUAGAAAUUUUGUUUGAAUCUGAAUCAUUUUGAAUUGGAAAAUGUAGAGAAAAGAAAAUAUAUUCAGAAUGUGUACUUUUAUCCAAGAGGUGAUAUACCUUAGUAGUCCAAAUGAAACAGCAAGCACGAUCAGUUGAGGUGGUUAGGUUGUUAGCGCCAUUACAACAGUUUGUAGUUUCGAACUCGCUCCGUCCCUUUUUUUUCCAGCCAAAUAUUUUUACAGCGAAUACUGACGGCUGAGACCCAGCGGACAACUAUUGUUGGAGUGCUUUUGUACAAAGUUAAAAAACGAGGGUGUUUUUGCAGAAAAAACAUCACGUGCACUAGGCACUGACAAAUGGGCCCUUGCUACACCGGCAUUGCCAUGUAGGCAGCAAAUACAUCCACGUACGGAAAAUAUGACCGUAUUUGCACACCCGCACAAGUUUAAUGACCAGAAACACGUAUUUUGUAAGUUCGUGCACCAAACUGAUCGUCGUGCGCAAGUUGUAAGACUUCUAAUGUAUUUAACUCGUUCCAUAAUCUAGUGUAUAUAGAUAUUUUCAAAAAUCAAACGUCGUUAACUUUGAACAAGUUUGUAGAGAAAAAUAUCUACAUCUACAAUACCAUAAAUAUCAUUAUAUACAUCAUGAGUGGUAGUUUUAUAUUGUGCUCCCUCUGUAAAGAAAUAUAAGAGCGUUAGAUCACUAAAUGCUCUUAUAUUUAACGCUAUUAUAUUUCUUUACGGAGGGAGUACUUAUUUGGUAUUUUUUAUGUUGAUAUUUUUCUCAACAAACUUGGUCAAACUCUGCAAUGUUGGAAUUUUCAAAAAAUAUACACGCGAUAUAUUAUGGAACGAAGGAAGUAUUACAUAUUCCCCCAUUUACACCUACAGGCAGAUCCUUACAGGAUUGAUGUUACGGACUGAGUUGUCAAACUAUGUUUGGGGAUUAGGGAGGGUGGGGUCCAUUAGUUAAAAAUCAAGGGGAGCAGUUAUUGGUGGGAAAGGAGUCCGUAAGCAGCAGUCCGUAGGGGAUCCCGUAAGUCUAGCAUUUUUGUUGUUUGUAUACCCACAAUUUAGAAGUUUUUUGAAUGAAAUGUGUAGCAAGGGCCCAUUUGUAGGCCAUGUCUAUAUUUUCAUGUUGGAUUUUUUUCCAAAUAAUUUGGAAGCUUAUCAACAUGAUUUCUUCUUUUUUCAAAAUUUCCAGGCUCCCUGGAGCCAAGCGGCCGCACUCUAAGCAUUCACACAUUGCCCUAGAAAGAAACUUUUGUUUGCUAAAUCCUACAGAUAAUUUACGCUCCCCACAACACUGUCACAGUAAACAAGUUUAACUGCCUUUUAUUGAGCACAGAAAACAAAAGAAUUAUCUUGAUUACAUCCUCUAGUUAGUCAUAUUUUUACGUUUCCAGCUUUUUUACUUUUGUUGGUGAAAUUCAUAGCAAUCGAUAUGAAAAAGUUGUACAAGAAGCCCAAAGUUGUAAAAAACAGUUCCUUAGGGCAACUCCAACGCGGAUCACCAAACCACCCCUAAACGUCCGGACCGGGGUGUCCGGACGUUUUUAGCAACCCAACGCGGUGCUCAAAUGUCCGUAGACGCGUCCAGGCAUCCAAAAUCCCGCAAACCGUCCACUAACUCGUGGGAGGUUUGUGGGAGUUCGGACCUUCGCCACGAAAGCUUCUGAUACCCUUUGCCCCCCCAAAUCCCCUCUCCCGGACCCCUUUCCCCCACUCUGUCCCUCCCCUUUGCUCUGUAUCCACACCAUCCGAGUUCGCCGCCGCUGCCGCUCUACCACCCUGACUGCCGCUCAGGCCUUGCUGAACAUCCGCCGCCGCCGCUCUACCACCCGAGCUUCCGCUCAGGCCAUGCUGAACAUCCGCCGCCCCACCCACGCUCCUGCCCGCCUUGGACUACGCCGCCGUUUCACUCCGGAUCUGUCCGCAGCCAGGUAUCCCCCACCCCUGUUGAUGCCGUCCAUGGUGGACACCACGCCCGGCAAGUGUUCGGCCAAAUGCUAAUGAGAAUUUUUUUGACGUUAUCGUUGUUUACUUUGAAGCAAACAUGAUGACCGUAUGAAAGAAAACAGGGGCGGAUAUUUGGUGCAUAGGGUUGGAUGGCCGGUUUCCCUAUCGGUGUCUACGGAUGCGUAAGCGGGCGUUUGGUGUGUCCGAUUUGGUGAUCCGCGUUAGAGUUGCCCUUAUUUCAGCCCACCCAUGGACCCAUUCUGCAUAUAUUACAAAGGAAAAUACGUGUGAAUUCUUGGCAUUCCAUUUCUUACGUUUUAAAGAUGGAAAAUAAGUUGUGAUUUAGUUUUACGAUGCAUAGUGGAAUUGAGAAGAUCCAGCUCUGGAACUUCCGGUUCCAAUCGGAGCAUAUAGAUCCGUAAAUGGAUUUGUAUGUAUAGCCACUUCAGUCGUGCUCCUCGUUUCUCGAAUGGAAAAAAAGUAUCUUCUUUCUGAGAACAUGCUCUACUAUUUUGCAUUUGUUAAUAGCACUGUUAUGAUUUAUUAUUAUUAUUUUCUUUAGAUAUUCUUAACAUAUGGAUUAAGGAAUUUAUACAAGAGGGAAGCCUGUUCUUGUUUCAGCCGGAUCUCAGACUCAUAAUUGAUUGAGUUGGAAAUAAGGAAAGAACACUUCUUGGUAAUCACUAAAUCUUGUUUUUUGUACCAUCACUUUUUGUUGAAGUAUGCUCACUUGCCAUCAUUUGUUUUGUGCAUAUCGUUAUCUAGAACUGACGACUUCCAUGAGCCCAUUAGAACAUGCUUGUGAUGAUUACGCUUUGGUAACUUCAAACAUUAAACUAAAAAAAGACUUCAAACAUUGCAUGAUGUCAGCAAUCUGAAUGAAGUAGCCCCUAAAAAUGUGAGCAAUGCAUUUGAGUGAUUAUAUUUUAUUGUUUACCUGCCAAUCAUCAGCUAAUGAGAAAUUUUCUGCAGAAGGUAAAACUAACUCUCCAACAGGGCAUUUAUUGAUUGAAACAUAAUAACUGGGAUGGUUAAUGAUUUUCUUUUUAGCCUUUGUCCUUUACAGACUGGGCACUGACAAAUUACAAGUAGUGUCAUUUUUAACUUCUGCCACUAAGUAGUUGGAUGUGUAAUUGCCUACCGCACAGUUCACUAGAUAAGCCUAGUUCUAAAUUGCUGUUUGUAGGAAAAAUAAAUAUUGUAAAAUUUUGCAAUUGAGAACAAGUAGAUAAUAGUUGGGGUAUAAAAAAGGAAGUUGUAUUUUGUUUUUUUUGGCAUAACAGCUACACUUUGGUAUGCUGUAAUAUGAACGGUAUAUCUAUUUGUUCUCGUAAUGAUGGAUCAUAGCUAUCAUACAAUCCAAAGAUAUACAUUGGUUAACAACUAGACCAUUAACUCAGUGAAGACACCAACUACUAAUUAGUAGCUAUUGAUAGUUCAACUACGUUGCAAAAUCCCUCAAGCUAAAUCAUAGAUCAUUGAUAAACACGUAACAUGCGAAACUGUGAUAUCGCGGGCUAGAGAAGAGGGAUGAGAAUGAUGGGACGAUGGAGACGCGUUUUUAUCGUUUUGGAAGGAACUGUUUUGGCUACAUGAAGGUUUAAUAUUAUCCUACUGUUGUGCAGAGAACAUCGCAUUGUUCCAACUAAUAUCCAACUAGGAACGCGCACAGAUUUGAGUGGCUAACAUAAAGAUCUUGUGUGGGUGCCAGUAAAUUCGACAUACAACUCACAAAAAUCAGCUGAUGAAGGGAACCUUUUUAAGUUAUAUUCCACCCUGCAACUGUACUAUGACCUUA